CCCUGACCCAGUCACCUCUUGUUUGGCAUUCCUGUGGCCUCCUGGGGAAUGAACCUGAUGACACAAAUUUCCCAAUGCCAUUUUCGUCUGCUCUGGGCAACACUUGGGAUUUGGGCUCUUGCCAGCUGCUAAUUACACGAGAAAACAGAGGGGCCUGAUGGAAGACCAGCCUCUGACAUAUACGGGCUGUGUGACUCUGGGGAAAAGAUGGCGCAGCUUCCAAAAUAAUAACUCGGGGGCAAGAUGGUUGGAAGUAUGAGAGGAGCCUGCAAGUGACCCCAGGGGCAUCAGAAAGACUCAUUACUGACCGCGACUACGUGUUGAGGACAAGAGACAACAGACGGAUGGCUGCAGUGUCAGCCUGGGACUGACCCCAAGAUACGGAAAAGGUCAAAGGAAGGCCCUGAUGGGAAGACGAGGACGAGAAUCACACUGAACAGCAGGGCAGGGAGGAAAGACCCACACCAGAGAGAUCAUGGCUCCACUAAAGCUCUAAUACUCUGGAAGACCUCCGUUGCGCAAUUUAAUUUAUCCAGUUUUAAACUUAAGUUCCCUAGGGUUUAGCUUGCCUCCCUCCCUGCACCCCAUGGCAGAGGGCUCCCUUGGGCCCUCAAAGAGGAUGGCUUCUUCCCAUCCCACAAUCUCCCUCAUUCACCCUCACCCCAAAGUGGGCUCUAGAGGAUUUCAAGCUAAAAGAGACAUGAUAAAUCAUCCAAUUAAAACCCUUUCCUUUUACUGAGAAGCAAACUGAGGUUAGAAGUCACUGAGAUGGUAAGGAACAAGCCAGGAUUCGAAGGCCAGGGUCCCCCUCUGAGGAUGAAGGUGCAGGGGGCUCACUGACCACCCCCAAAGGGAUGCUCCAUGCAUUAAAAAGGACCACCAUCAGCACUGCUGAUCCAUGCCCCAGAGAAAGGCCUUUUCUGAGGCAUUAGGGUCUUCCCCAGACCUCAGUCCCUGCCCCUCAGAAAGCUUACAGCAUGUAGACAAGGAAAACGUAACCUGAAGAGGGAGAGGGAAUUCCCAGCUGGGGGAGAUGAGAGAAGCCUUCCCAGACAUGGCUAGGAGGGAGACGGAAGCCGAGGACUCUGAGGGGCUGGAGAUGUGGUCAGCACGAUGCAGGCUCAGCAGCACAUUCAGGUAUGUGGGGCUUGGGGGGCAUCUUGGAAUCCAGAAGUAUCAAAUGAAUGGAACGUGUCUGCAGGGCCCAGGCCCCUUUAUGAGCAGAGGAGUGGCACGGGCAGAUCUGUACCUUUAAAGAAAAUGAUUUUUGCAGCUGUGUGAAGAAUGAAUAAGAGCCCAUUGCGGUGAAGCAGGGAAGAGGUGAUGAGGGCCUGAUCUAGCAGGGCGCUCACAUGAGGAGAGAGAAGUGGAUCGAUAUGAGGCGUUGCGGAGGUAGAAUCAAUAAGACUCAUGGACUAACUGGAUGGGGGGCCUUGAGGUAGAGGGAAGAGUCGCAGAUGACUCUUGGGGUCACAAAUGUGGGUGGCUAGAAAGAUGAUGGGACAGUGGGCCUAAGGGGAAGAAAAUGAGUUGUUCUUCGGACGUGUCAGAACUCAAAGAGACUUGUGGGAUUACACAGGCUACCGCCCUAGAGAGCCUGCAGUCCCGCCCUGAGGGGAGAAAGCUGGGAGGUGAUCCCUGAAGCCCAGUCUGGGGCUCUUUUCCCUCCACCACAAGAGCAUCUUUGGCACAGAAAUGGAGAGAUUUCAAUAUGACCCAGAAGAGGAGUACGUAAAGAACCUGGCAACGGGCUCCAAAGCAGAAGGAGAGAUUCCGUGAGAACCUCUGAGGCAGGGGGAUGCGGAUCACAUCAGGAGAGGGGCUGCCCCGGAGGAAAGGUGGAGACUCCUUUCUUCACUUGACCAUCCCCACUGCCCGCUUUUGUUGGGAAGCAGCUGGGUGAGAGUUAACGGAGAUCACACAGUGCUAAGUGUGUAGGAUUCUUCUAGACCAAACCGGGCCUGCUUACUGGAGAGGAAUGAGGAAAGAAGGACCCCGAAGGAACCCCAGGGUCGAAUGACAAAGCUGGCUGCCACUGAAGGACACACGUGGCUUGUCAUCUGUCCCCCACUCACAAGAGAAGAAGGGCAGCAGGGGCUUUACGGCUCUGACUUCUCCCAAGAAACAGUCUAAUAAGCCAAAGAGAAAUCACGGCAGCACAGAUUGACACCUGGAAGGGACAGAUGAGGUCAUCCUGACACCCACAGCCCAUUUUACAGAUACGGGAACUGAGGCCCAGUGAGGAAGCAGCUGGCCUGAGGCUAGACAGGCAGUGAGCCACAGAGCUGGGUCAGGAAGCUCGAUUCUUUCACUCCAUGCACGGCAGAUUCAUUCCUUAUUGUCUCAGACUUAGUGCUCUGCCGGGGAGACACCCCGCCAUCCACUCUCGCACUUGAGUCUAGCCCUGGAGGGACAGCGGUGCCUUUCUAGGAGCACGUUCUCUGCGCCACUGUCAGAGUGAAUGAGUGCUGGCUAGCGGGGGUGGCAGGCCUGUCUCACGCUCUGAAUCCUGCAGAAAAUGAACACCAGCAGCAAGGGACCAGAUCACUUUAAAAUAACUGCAUCCUUUAAUGGCAGUAAUACAAUUAUUGGAGAUGAAGGGACCACAGGAGAAAGGCGCGAAUGACAUUUCCUGGAAGACAGAUGUGGGGUACAAAAAGGGGAGUGGGGUAGGCGGACUGAAGGAGAGCCAUGCGACCAUAAUUGUAAAAAUACAGUGCGGUAUAUACAUAUUUGCAUCAUCAAUGUCAACUCUGAAAUAUUAUUUACACUUUUAUUACAAUCUUGGUUAGAGAACGAUUUUCCUUAAAAGCUCUAGUCUGAUGGGAAAAA
Molecule: long non-coding RNA, 2832 nt
Organism: Phascolarctos cinereus (koala)
Lineage: Eukaryota; Metazoa; Chordata; Mammalia; Diprotodontia; Phascolarctidae
Source: RefSeq, a predicted model, not a curated record